CACCGCGUCAACUCUUGGCAGCUGUCAGAGCACCCCUCCCCCUCUUCCAGGCAACUUCUUCCAACAGCCCCCUCUGAUGGACCCCAACUCUCCUCUCUCACGCCUCGCCCAUACAGCGAGGCACAAAGAAAUCUCAGUCUCUCCAUAAACUUUGUGCUUCCAGUUAUGCCGCCCCCUCCCCUAGCCUACACCCCCACCCUGCCAGCUUCUUGGCAGGAAGGUUAGGCCACUGGCAAAAUCCUCAGCGAGAGCCAGCUGAUCACAAAUGCCAACUGUGUGUCUUGGGGCCAGUUAAGUCCUCUCAUCUGCCCCAGCUCUCAGGAGACCAUUUCAUUGCUCUCAAGGUUCCCAGGAGACCGCUGCGGACACGGACCAUCCUCUACUUGGCCCGCAAGGAUGGGUUGCUGAGCGGAAUCCCAAAAGCGCUCUUUCUCACCUCGAAUUUUCAUUUUUAGAUUGUAAAAAAUCCGAAUUUGGAGACAGGCAGAUAUUUUUCACACAUCAAAAAGCAGGACCAUCAGCUAGGUGAUUAGCCCCAGGUGGGAAAUGAGCCAUCUCUAAUGAGAAUACUGACUUUUUGAAGAAGUCUGUGGAAGUUCUGAAGUCCUACCCCAGCCCCAUGACCUUUCGUUCGUUUAGUUCUUCUGCCACAGGGAAGCAGCCAGCGACUAAUGAAAGAUUUGAUCUUGCAAUAAUUUCCCAAGCAGGAAGAAAGUACUGUUAUCUCUUUUGGAAGAUAAAGAUACUAAGUCACAAAGAAGGUCAGAAACUUCUCAAGGCCACAUAGUUAUUAAGUGCCGAAGUCAAGAUUUGAAACCACACAGACUUGCUCCAGUUAAAUUCCUUAAGCACUUUAAUAUACUUCUUCUAAUGAACAUGGACAUUUUGGAUAAUAUGGAUAGCUUGACUUAUAUUUAGGAAUUUAUAAAGUAUGUAAAGAUACCCCAGUGUCAAUUUCCAGAUCUUAGCCAAAGCAAUGUUGAGCAAGAAGAGCAAAACUGGAGGCAUCACACUUCCUAAUUUCAAAACAUAUUGCAAAGCUUCAGUAAUCAAAAGAAUAUGAUACUGACAUAAAAACAGAUACAUAGACCAAUGGAACAGAAUUGAGAGCCCAGAAAUAAACCCCCACAUAUACUGUCAGCUCAUCUUUGGCAAGUGCACCAAGAAUACAAAGUGGGAGCAGAAUAGUCUCUUCAAUAAAUGAUGCUGGGAGAACUGGAUAUCCACGUGCAAAAGAGUGAAAUUGGACCCCUAUCUCACAUCAUACACCAAAUUCAACUCAAAAUAUAUUGAAAACUUAAAUGCAAGAUCUGAAACUGGAAAAAAACACAGGGUAAGACAACUUUGGCAUUGAUCUUAGCAAUGAAUUUUUUGGAUCUGACACCAAAAGCACAAACAGCAAAAGCAAAACUAAAAAAAUGAGACUGCACCAAACUAAAAAACUUCUGCACAACAAGGAAACAAUCAACAAAAUUAAAAGGCAACCUACAGAGUGGGAGAAAAUAUUUGCAAAUCAUCUAUCUGAUAAGAAGUUAAUAUCCAAAAUAUAUAAGAAAUUCUUCCAACUCAAUAGCAAAAAAACAAAUAGCCCAAUUUAAAAAAUGAGCAAAGGGCCUGAAUAGACAUUCCCUAAAGAGGACAUACAGAUGGCAAACAGGUAUAUGACAAAGUGCUCAACAUCACUAAUCAUCAGAGAAAUGCAAAUCAAAACCACAAUGACGUGUCUCUUCACAUCUGUUUGGAUGGCUAGCAUUAAAAAACAAAAAAUAACAAAUGUUAAGGAGGAUAUGGAGUAAAGGGAAUCCUGGUACACUGUUGGUAAGAAAAUAAAUUGGUAAGCAUUAUGGAAAACAACAUGGACGUUCUCCCCAAAAUUAAAAAUAGAACUACCAUAUGAUCCAGCAAUCCCACUUUAGGGUAUUUAUUCAAAGGAAUUGAAAUCAUGAUCUUGAAAAGAUACCUGCAAUCCCAUGUUCAUUGCAGCAUUAUUCACAAUAAGCAAGAUACAGAAACAAGCUAAAUGUCCAUUAACAGAUGAAUAGAUAAAGAAAUCUCAUAUAUACAAUGGAAUAUUAUUCAGACUUAAAAAAAGAAGGAAAUCCUGCUGUUUCUGACAACACGGACAGAACUGGAGGACGUUAUACCAAGUGAAAUAAGCCAGACACAGCAAGACAAAUACUGUGUGACCUCACUUAUAUGUGGAAUCUAAAGUAGUCAAACUCAUAGAAGC
This 2230-nucleotide long non-coding RNA is filed under the name Equus caballus (horse). RNAcentral describes it as "lncRNA (ENSECAG00000053930.1)". Lineage: Eukaryota; Metazoa; Chordata; Mammalia; Perissodactyla; Equidae. The record is from RNAcentral.